This is a non-coding RNA of Phrynosoma platyrhinos (Desert horned lizard), 78 nucleotides long. NCBI's taxonomy places the organism in Eukaryota, Metazoa, Chordata, Lepidosauria, Squamata, Phrynosomatidae. The record is from the annotation of a GenBank genome assembly.
UUAAUGGUGAGUUUAGUGGUUUUAGUGUUUGACUAUGACUCUGGAGACCAGGAUUCGAUUCCCUGCUUGGCUAUGAAA